RNAcentral lists this ribosomal RNA (1059 nucleotides) under Xylaria acuta. RNAcentral describes it as "eukaryotic LSU rRNA". It matches the Rfam family "Eukaryotic large subunit ribosomal RNA", at positions 56 to 1145 of the family's 3401-position model. The record is from RNAcentral. Lineage: Eukaryota; Fungi; Ascomycota; Sordariomycetes; Xylariales; Xylariaceae.
GAUAAGACAACAGGGAUUGCCCUAGUAACGGCGAGUGAAGCGGCAACAGCUCAAAUUUGAAAUCUGGCCCUCGGGUCCGAGUUGUAAUUUGUAGAGGAUGCUUUUGGCGCGGUGCCUUCCGAGUUCCCUGGAACGGGACGCCUUAGAGGGUGAGAGCCCCGUACGGUUGGACACCAAGCCUCUGUAAAGCUCCUUCGACGAGUCGAGUAGUUUGGGAAUGCUGCUCUAAAUGGGAGGUAAAUUUCUUCUAAAGCUAAAUAUUGGCCAGAGACCGAUAGCGCACAAGUAGAGUGAUCGAAAGAUGAAAAGCACUUUGAAAAGAGGGUUAAAUAGCACGUGAAAUUGUUGAAAGGGAAGCGUUUGCGACCAGACCUUUUCCUGGCGGAUCAUCCGGUGUUCUCACCGGUGCACUUCGCCAGGUUGAGGCCAGCAUCGGUUUCCGCAGGGGGAUAAAAGCUCUGGGAAUGUAGCUCCCUCGGGAGUGUUAUAGCCCUCUGCAUAAUACCCUUGCGGGGACCGAGGACCGCGCUUCGGCAAGGAUGCUGGCAUAAUGGUCGUCAACGACCCGUCUUGAAACACGGACCAAGGAGUCGAACAUUUGUGCGAGUGUUUGGGUGUUAAACCCUCACGCGUAAUGAAAGUGAACGGAGGUGAGAGCCCUUACGGGUGCAUCAUCGACCGAUCCUGAUGUCUUCGGAUGGAUUUGAGUAAGAGCAUAACUGUUCGGACCCGAAAGAUGGUGAACUAUGCGUGGAUAGGGUGAAGCCAGAGGAAACUCUGGUGGAGGCUCGCAGCGGUUCUGACGUGCAAAUCGAUCGUCAAAUCUGCGCAUGGGGGCGAAAGACUUAUCGAACCAUCUAGUAGCUGGUUACCGCCGAAGUUUCCCUCAGGAUAGCAGUGUUGUUCUUCAGUUUUAUGAGGUAAAGCGAAUGAUUAGGGACUCGGGGGCGCUUUUUAGCCUUCAUCCAUUCUCAAACUUUAAAUAUGUAAGAAGCCCUUGUUACUUAAUUGAACGUGGGCAUUCGAAUGUACCAACACUAGUGGCCAUUUUUGGUAAGC